Molecule: ribosomal RNA, 250 nt
Filed under: uncultured bacterium
Lineage: Bacteria
Description: partial 16S ribosomal RNA
Rfam family: Bacterial small subunit ribosomal RNA
Source: RNAcentral
GGAGGAAUAUUGGUCAAUGGACGCAAGUCUGAACCAGCCAUGCCGCGUGAAGGAUGAAGGCCUUCUGGGUUGUAAACUUCUUUUACAGGGGAAGAAAACUACGGUUUCUACUGUAGCCGACGGUACCCUAGGAAUAAGCACCGGCUAACUCCGUGCCAGCAGCCGCGGUAAUACGGAGGGUGCAAGCGUUAUCCGGAUUUACUGGGUUUAAAGGGUGUGUAGGCGGGCUUUUAAGUCAGUGGUGAAAUCU